RNAcentral lists this ribosomal RNA (355 nucleotides) under uncultured bacterium. RNAcentral describes it as "bacterial SSU rRNA". It matches the Rfam family "Bacterial small subunit ribosomal RNA", at positions 29 to 400 of the family's 1533-position model. The record is from RNAcentral.
AAUCAACGCUGGCGGCGCGCUUAACACAUGCAAGUCGAACGAGAAAGGGGAGCAAUCCCUGAGUAAAGUGGCGUACGGGUGAGUAACACGUGGAUGAUCUACCUCUUGAUGGGGGAUACCUCUGGGAAACCGGAGACAAUACCGCAUAAGCUCGGGAGAGGAAAGCCGAAAGGCGUCGAGAGAGGAGUCCGCGGCCGAUUAGCUAGUUGGUAGGGUAAAGCCUACCAAGGCAAAGAUCGGAGCCGGCCUGAGAGGGCACACGGCCACACUGGCACUGAAACACGGGCCAGACUCCUACGGGAGGCAGCAGUGGGGAAUCUUGCACAAUGGGGCAACCCUGAUGCAGCGACGCCGC